GUAGAGUAGAGGGGAGAGGAGGAGAGAGGAGGAGAGAGGAGAGUAGAGCAGAGAGGAGAGGAGAGAGUAGAGUUAGAAGUAAAGUAGAGUAGAGGGGAGUGGAGAAGAGAGAGGAGAGUAGAGGAGAGAGGAGUAGAUGAGAGAGGAGAGUAGAGGAGAGAGGGGAGAGUAGAGUAGAGUAGAGUAGAGAAUAGAGAAGAGGAGUGGAGAGAGGAGUGUAGUAGAGAGCAGUGGAGAGAGAGUAGGAGAGAGGAGGGUAGAGAGUAGAGGAGAGAGGAAAGGAGAAUAGAGUAGAGAGGAGAGAGGAAAGGAGAAUAGAGUAGAGAGGAGAGAAGGGGGAAGAGGAGAGUAGAGAGUAGAGGAGAGAGGAGAGUAGAGGAGAGAGGAGAGUAGAGGUGAGAGGAGAGUAGUGGAGAGAAGAGGAGAAGACAGAGGGAGAGAUAGAAGGGUCACGAUCAGAUGAGGUCAUGCAUUUUUCUGCAUGUUCUUAAAAAAAGAUAGAUUUAGAGUUAGAUAAACUUGGAUUUUUUGUCAGGAACAUAUACAGGAUGCUACCCUCUACAACAUAACCUUCACUCCAAAUCAAAACUCAAAACCUACAACCUGAUUUUGGAUGGAAUUACGGAAUCACCUGGAAGGUUUACAACUACCAAGGAUUAUUAUUCCAACGCUAUACAGCAAAUUCUCUGGAAACAACAGAAGCCUGAAAACACCAUCCAACCUGGAACUGAGAGAGUCAUGUUUAGUCUGAAGCUAUAUUUUAUUU
This 766-nucleotide long non-coding RNA is filed under the name Salmo salar (Atlantic salmon). Its description in RNAcentral is "lncRNA (ENSSSAG00000120085.1)". Lineage: Eukaryota; Metazoa; Chordata; Actinopteri; Salmoniformes; Salmonidae. The record is from RNAcentral.